RNAcentral lists this ribosomal RNA (1432 nucleotides) under Solitalea koreensis. RNAcentral describes it as "16S ribosomal RNA". It matches the Rfam family "Bacterial small subunit ribosomal RNA". Lineage: Bacteria; Pseudomonadati; Bacteroidota; Sphingobacteriia; Sphingobacteriales; Sphingobacteriaceae. The record is from RNAcentral.
AUACAUGCAAGUCGUACGGGAUUGAGGACUUCGGUUCUCAUGAGAGUGGCGCACGGGUGCGUAACACGUAUGCAACCUACCUUUAUUUGGGGGAUAGCCUUUCGAAAGAGAGAUUAAUACCGCAUAAGACAGUACGUUCGCAUGAACGAGCUGUUAAAGUUUCGGCGAAUAAAGAUGGGCAUGCGUUGCAUUAGCUAGUUGGUAAGGUAACGGCUUACCAAGGCUACGAUGCAUAGGGGAUCUGAGAGGAUGAUCCCCCACACUGGUACUGAGACACGGACCAGACUCCUACGGGAGGCAGCAGUAAGGAAUAUUGGUCAAUGGGCGCAAGCCUGAACCAGCCAUGCCGCGUGCAGGAAGACGGCCCUAUGGGUUGUAAACUGCUUUUNUCGGGGAAUAAACCUCAUUACGUGUAAUGAGUUGAAGGUACCCGAAGAAUAAGGAUCGGCUAACUCCGUGCCAGCAGCCGCGGUAAUACGGAGGAUCCAAGCGUUAUCCGGAUUUAUUGGGUUUAAAGGGUGCGUAGGCGGUUUAUUAAGUCAGUGGUGAAAGCCCGGAGCUCAACUUCGGAACUGCCAUUGAUACUGAUAGACUUGAGUACAGAUGAAGUGGGCGGAAUGUGACAAGUAGCGGUGAAAUGCUUAGAUAUGUCACAGAACACCGAUUGCGAAGGCAGCUCCACUAAAGUGUAACUGACGCUGAGGCACGAAAGCGUGGGGAUCAAACAGGAUUAGAUACCCUGGUAGUCCACGCCCUAAACGAUGAUUACUCGCUGUUAGCGAUAUACAGUUAGCGGCUAAGCGAAAGCGUUAAGUAAUCCACCUGGGGAGUACGGUCGCAAGAUUGAAACUCAAAGGAAUUGACGGGGGCCCGCACAAGCGGAGGAGCAUGUGGUUUAAUUCGAUGAUACGCGAGGAACCUUACCCGGGCUUGAAAGUUAGUGAAGACUGUAGAAAUAUAGUCGUCCGCAAGGACACGAAACUAGGUGCUGCAUGGCUGUCGUCAGCUCGUGCCGUGAGGUGUUGGGUUAAGUCCCGCAACGAGCGCAACCCCUAUGUUUAGUUGCCAGCAUGUAAUGAUGGGGACUCUAAACAGACUGCCUGUGCAAACAGAGAGGAAGGAGGGGACGACGUCAAGUCAUCAUGGCCCUUACGUCCGGGGCUACACACGUGCUACAAUGGAUGGUACAGAGGGCAGCAAGCUGGUAACAGCAAGCCAAUCUCAAAAAGCCAUUCACAGUUCGGAUUGAGGUCUGCAACUCGACCUCAUGAAGUUGGAUUCGCUAGUAAUCGCGUAUCAGCAAUGACGCGGUGAAUACGUUCCCGGGCCUUGUACACACCGCCCGUCAAGCCAUGGAAGCUGGGGGUGCCUAAAGUCCGUCACCGCAAGGAUCGGCCUAGGGCAAAACUGGUAACUAGGGCUAAGUCGUAAC